GCAUUACACAUAAUCAGUGAGAUUGCUACCAGUACAGUUAUUUCCCUGAGGAAAUCUGUAGACAUUAACAUAUAUUCGCCUAUUUCCUCUAGGUGCUCCAAGCAGUUACAUGGACAUACAGCCUGGCCAGUCAUGAGGACUCCAUAUGGACUUCGAUAACUCACCACACGCGCCGUCACAGGCAUGCCUUUCUCGUCCUUCUCUGCUGGGUCCAGCAUGCCCAACAGGAUGGCGAGGUCCCGAUUCCGGUCAU
This is a long non-coding RNA of Myotis daubentonii (Daubenton's bat), 253 nucleotides long. RefSeq lists it as uncharacterized. The record is from RefSeq and is a predicted model, not a curated record. NCBI's taxonomy places the organism in Eukaryota, Metazoa, Chordata, Mammalia, Chiroptera, Vespertilionidae. The transcript is spliced from 2 exons.